This 492-nucleotide ribosomal RNA is filed under the name uncultured bacterium. RNAcentral describes it as "partial 16S ribosomal RNA". It matches the Rfam family "Bacterial small subunit ribosomal RNA", at positions 29 to 507 of the family's 1533-position model. The record is from RNAcentral.
AGUGAACGCUGGCGGUAGGCCUAACACAUGCAAGUCGAACGGCAGCACAGUAAGAGCUUGCUCUUACGGGUGGCGAGUGGCGGACGGGUGAGGAAUACAUCGGAAUCUACUUUUUCGUGGGGGAUAACGUAGGGAAACUUACGCUAAUACCGCAUACGACCUACGGGUGAAAGCAGGGGAUCUUCGGACCUUGCGCGAUUGAAUGAGCCGAUGUCGGAUUAGCUAGUUGGCGGGGUAAAGGCCCACCAAGGCGACGAUCCGUAGCUGGUCUGAGAGGAUGGUCAGCCACACUGGAACUGAGACACGGUCCAGACGACUGAGGGAGGCAGCAGUGGGGAAUAUUGGACAAUGGGGGCAAGCAUGAUCCAGCCAUACCGCGUCGGUGAAGAAGGCCUUCGGGUUGUAAAGCCGUUUUGUUGGGAAAGAAAAGCAGCAGGUUAAUACCCCGCUGUUCUGACGGUACCCAAAGAAUAAGCACCGGCUAACUUCGUG